AUCACUUUAGUAUAACGAUAGUACACUUGCCUUCCAAGCAAAAAGUUUAAAUGCCUAAAAGUGAUA
RNAcentral lists this transfer RNA (66 nucleotides) under Neanthes glandicincta. RNAcentral's name for it is "tRNA-Gly". It matches the Rfam family "tRNA". Rfam says of the family: Transfer RNA (tRNA) molecules are approximately 80 nucleotides in length. Lineage: Eukaryota; Metazoa; Annelida; Polychaeta; Phyllodocida; Nereididae. The record is from RNAcentral.